This 30-nucleotide non-coding RNA is filed under the name Rattus norvegicus (Norway rat). The record is from RNAcentral. Lineage: Eukaryota; Metazoa; Chordata; Mammalia; Rodentia; Muridae.
UUGCGCAGAAUAUUUCAAUUCAUACGUUGC